Trichomycterus rosablanca is the source of this 562-nucleotide long non-coding RNA. RefSeq lists it as uncharacterized. The record is from RefSeq and is a predicted model, not a curated record. The transcript has 2 exons. NCBI's taxonomy places the organism in Eukaryota, Metazoa, Chordata, Actinopteri, Siluriformes, Trichomycteridae.
AAAUAAUUGAAGCUCACUGAAUACUGUGGAUAACGUAAACUUAAAAGCUACAAUAAGCAACAAGAACAACAAUAAUAAGCAACAGACGAACUACCAUUUCUGACUACAUCCACAAGGUGGACCAACAAAGCAGAUAUUCAAGUGUCCACUACCAUCACUGAGCCACAUUUGCUUAUUCACCUCUCAUACAUGAGUAAAAACUAUGAACACUACUCUGCAGCAUCUAACAUCCGGCGUAGAUCAUCAGCCAAGGUCACAAGAUCCAGCAAGAAGGUUCUGGGUUCGAUCCCCAGGUGGGGCGGUCUGGGUCCUUUCUGUGUGGAGUUUGCAUGUUCUCCCCGUGUCCGUGUAGGUUUCAUCCGGGUGCUCCGGUUUCCUCCCACAGUCCAAAGACAUGCAAGUGAGGUGAAUUGGAGACACUAAAUUGUCCAUGACUGUGUUUGAUAUAACCUUGAGAACUGAUGAAUCUUGUGUAAUGAGUUAACUGCCUGUCCUGUCAUGAAUGUAACCAAAGUUUAAAACAUGACGUUAAAAUCCUAAUAAACAAACAAACAAACUGUAA